GUAACACGUAUGCAACCUACCCUUUACUGGGGCAUAGCUCAGAGAAAUCUGAAUUAAUUCCCCAUAAUACAAUUGAAUGGCAUCAUUUGAUUAUUAAAGCUGAGGCGGUAAAGGAUGGGCAUGCGUUGCAUUAGCUAGUUGGUGAGGUAAUGGCUCACCAAGGCUACGAUGCAUAGGGGUUCUGAGAGGAUGAUCCCCCACACUGGUACUGAGACACGGACCAGACUCCUACGGGAGGCAGCAGUAGGGAAUAUUGGUCAAUGGACGCAAGUCUGAACCAGCCAUGCCGCGUGCAGGAAGACGGCCCUCUGGGUUGUAAACUGCUUUUAUAUGGGAAGAAACCUCAUUAUGCGUAAUGAACUGACGGUACCAUAUGAAUAAGGAUCGGCUAACUUCGUGCCAGCAGCCGCGGUAAGACGAAGGAUCCAAGCGUUGUCCGGAUUUACUGGGUUUAAAGGGUGCGUAGGCGGAAUUUUAAGUCAGUGGUGAAAGCCCUUCGCUCAACGAAGGAACUGCCAUUGAAACUGAAAUUCUUGAAUACGGUUGAGGUAGAUGGAAUAUAACAUGUAGCGGUGAAAUGCUUAGAUAUGUUAUAGAACACCGAUUGCGAAGGCAGUCUACUAAGCCGUGAUUGACGCUGAGGCA
RNAcentral lists this ribosomal RNA (645 nucleotides) under uncultured bacterium. RNAcentral describes it as "bacterial SSU rRNA". It matches the Rfam family "Bacterial small subunit ribosomal RNA", at positions 110 to 753 of the family's 1533-position model. The record is from RNAcentral.